GGGGGGGGGGGGGGGGGGGGGGGGGGGGGGGGGGGGGGGGGGGGGGGGGGGGGGGGGGGGGGGGGGGGGGGGGGGGGGGGGGGGGGGGGGGGGGGAUUGGGAGAGGCUGUAGGGGCACUGGGAGGGACUGAGGGGGACUGGAGGGGACUGGGGGCACUGGGAGGGACUGGGAGAGGGGAUGGAGGAGUACUGGGGGCACCAGGGGAAGGACUGGGGGCACUGGGAGGGACUGGAACAGGGAUUGGGAGCACUGUGAGGGAGAUUUAAGGGACUGGGAGAGACUGGGGCAUACUGGGAAGGACUGGGAGGUAGAGUGGGAACACUGGGAUGCACUGGGAAGGGAACUGGGAUGGGAAUUGCGAGCACUGGGAGGGCACUGGGAGUACUGUGAGGGACUGGGAUAGGGACUGCGGGCACUGAGAGGGACUGGGGGGACUGGGAAGCACUGGGAGGGCACGGGGAGCACUGGGAGGUUACUGGGAGCACUGGUGCAGUGUCCCCCCCUGUCCCCCCCCGCAGGCGGUCCCCCCCCGCAGGCCCCGGGGCUCCCCCUGAGCCCGUGGCCGCCACCAGCUUCGUGGGGCCAGAACCGCGGGACCUGCUGCCCACCGGUGAGGAGCUGGGCAGCCCCAGCAGCGCCGGGACCGGGCAGGGCUACGGACUGGGCUGGCCACAGGUACGGACUGGGAGCACUGGGAUGGAACUGGGAGGGACUGGGAGCACUGACAGGGAAUGGGGAGGGCUGGGAUGCAGCUGCCUUGUGGCCCUGGGGGAUUUAUUGGUGUUUAACUGCUGUAUACUGGUGUGUUACUGGUGUACGCAGGUGUGUAUGAGGAUAUACUGGUGUGUGUAAUUAGUAUAUACUGGCUUAUACUGGUGUAUACCGGUUAAUAUUGGUUUAUACUGGCCCAGGAGCCGGGCUCAGAGGGUGACUGGUGGGACUGGUGUGUGACUGGUCCAUACUGGUUUAUACUGGUUUAGUAACUGGUUUACACUGGUUUAUACUGGUGCAUAACGGUUAGUAACUGGUAUAUACUGGUCUAUACUGGCGCAUAACUGGUCUAUACUGGUUUGCACUGUCCCAGGAGCCGGCCCCGUUCGCCGUGGAGCUGCUGCGGGGCCCGGGGGGUGACUGGUGGUACUGGUGUGUAACUGGUCUAUACUGGUCUAUACUGGGCAGGAGCCGGCGCCGUUCGCUGUGGAGGGGGGGGGGGGGGGGGGGGGGGGGGGGGGGGGGGGGGGGGGGGGGGGGGGGGGGGGGGGGGGG
This 1267-nucleotide long non-coding RNA is filed under the name Ficedula albicollis (Collared flycatcher). RNAcentral's name for it is "lncRNA (ENSFALG00000027883.1)". The record is from RNAcentral. Lineage: Eukaryota; Metazoa; Chordata; Aves; Passeriformes; Muscicapidae.